GCACCUUUAGUUCAGUUGAAUAGAACGUCUGACUACGGAUCAGGAGGUCGAAGGUUUGAGUCCUUCAAGGUGUACCA
RNAcentral lists this transfer RNA (77 nucleotides) under Bacteriophage sp. RNAcentral's name for it is "tRNA-Arg". It matches the Rfam family "tRNA". Rfam says of the family: Transfer RNA (tRNA) molecules are approximately 80 nucleotides in length. Their secondary structure includes four short double-helical elements and three loops (D, anti-codon, and T loops). The record is from RNAcentral.